ACCAGGAUCCCCAGCUGUGUUCCAUUUGCACAGAUCAGCUAAAAGUGGCCAUGGGAGAAAGGUAUAGUUUGGGUUAGAAGAGACGUAUUUUUAAAUCAGUCAGGUCUUCUUUGCUGCUCUGCUUACAUGGCAGUGACUGGUUGCUUGAUUAUAUUUUAAAGGCGCAUAGACAUGCUGAUGAGGACACAGAGGAAGCAAGGGAAAGUUACACACACCACUCCUGGAUUCAAACAGACUCGAGCUAUCCAGAGAAGACUGAAAGAAUAUAUGCCAGGAGGCCCAAAGACUCUUGUUGCAGGCGAGGAGUGGCAUAGAAGAGGUGUCAUGCUGGGCCACAGAAGAUGUGAUUUCAUGCUGUUCAAGAACCCGCUGCAGCCUUCAGGUGUCUUCGGCACUUCUGAAUCAAAAGUUCAAGCCAAAGGUUUUCUUCAACCUGCCACAUGCUGGAAGGGGGCUGAACUAUGCAUACAUAUAGAGGGGACUCUGUAA
Molecule: long non-coding RNA, 489 nt
Filed under: Struthio camelus australis
Lineage: Eukaryota; Metazoa; Chordata; Aves; Struthioniformes; Struthionidae
Description: lncRNA (ENSSCUG00000006566.1)
Source: RNAcentral